RNAcentral lists this ribosomal RNA (301 nucleotides) under uncultured bacterium. Its description in RNAcentral is "partial 16S ribosomal RNA". It matches the Rfam family "Bacterial small subunit ribosomal RNA", at positions 509 to 809 of the family's 1533-position model. The record is from RNAcentral.
CAGUAGCCACGGUAAUACCGAGGAUGCAAGCGUUAUCCAGAAUGAUUGGGUGUAAAGCGUCUGUAGGUGGCUUUUCAAGUCCGCCGUCAAAUCCCAGGGCUAAACCCUGGACAGGCGAUGGAAACUACCAAGCUGGAGUAUGGUAGGGGCAGAGGAAAUUUCCGGUGGAGAGGUGAAAUGCGUUGAGAUCAGAAAGACACCAACGGCGAAAGCACUCUGCUGGGCCGACACUGACACUAAGAGAUGAAAGCCUGGGGAGAAAAUGGGAUUAGAUACCCCAGUAGUCCCUGUCUCUUAUACA